GUCCAGACUCCUACGGGAGGCAGCAGUGGGGAAUAUUGGGCAAUGGGCGCAAGCCUGACCCAGCAACGCCGCGUGAAGGAAGAAGGCUUUCGGGUUGUAAACUUCUUUUAAGAGGGACGAAACAAAUGACGGUACCUCUUGAAUAAGCCACGGCUAACUACGUGCCAGCAGCCGCGGUAAUACGUAGGUGGCAAGCGUUAUCCGGAUUUAUUGGGUGUAAAGGGCGUGUAGGCGGGAAAGCAAGUCAGGUGUGAAAACUAUGGGCUCAACCCAUAGCCUGCAUUUGAAACUGUUUUUCUUGAGUGCUGGAGAGGCAAUCGGAAUUCCGUGUGUAGCGGUGAAAUGCGUAGAUAUACGGAGGAACACCAGUGGCGAAGGCGGCCUGCUGGACAUUAACUGACGCUGAGGCGCGAAAGCGUGGGGAGCAAACAGGAUUAGAUACCCGAGUAC
Molecule: ribosomal RNA, 450 nt
Filed under: uncultured bacterium
Lineage: Bacteria
Description: bacterial SSU rRNA
Rfam family: Bacterial small subunit ribosomal RNA
Source: RNAcentral